This 253-nucleotide ribosomal RNA is filed under the name uncultured bacterium. RNAcentral's name for it is "partial 16S ribosomal RNA". It matches the Rfam family "Bacterial small subunit ribosomal RNA", at positions 524 to 776 of the family's 1533-position model. The record is from RNAcentral.
UACGCAGGGGGCUAGCGUUGCUCGGAAUCACUGGGCGUAAAGGGUGCGUAGGCGGGUCUUUAAGUCAGGGGUUAAAUCCUGGAGCUCAACUCCAGAACUGCCUUUGAUACUGAAGAUCUUGAGUUCGGGAGAGGUGAGUGGAACUGCGAGUGUAGAGGUGAAAUUCGUAGAUAUUCGCAAGAACACCAGUGGCGAAGGCGGCUCACUGGCCCGAUACUGACGCUGAUGCACGAAAGCGUGGGGAGCAAACAGG